RNAcentral lists this ribosomal RNA (960 nucleotides) under uncultured bacterium. RNAcentral's name for it is "bacterial SSU rRNA". It matches the Rfam family "Bacterial small subunit ribosomal RNA", at positions 524 to 1482 of the family's 1533-position model. The record is from RNAcentral.
GACAGGGGUAGCAAGCGUUGUUCGGAGUAACUGGGCGUAAAGGGUCUGUAGGUGGUUUUUCAAGUCUUUGGUAAAACGCCGUGGCUCAACCAUGGUUUGGCCAAUGAGACUGGGAGACUGGAGGCUGGGAGAGGGAAGCGGAAUUUCUGGUGUAGCGGUGAAAUGCGUAGAGAUCAGAAAGAAGGCCGGUGGCGAAGGCGACUUCCUGGAACAGACCUGACACUGAGAGACGAAAGCGUGGGGAGCAAACAGGAUUAGAUACCCGGUAGUCCACGCCCUAAACGAUGGGAACUAAGUGUGGGGAGCAAUCCCCGUGCCGCAGCUAACGCAAUAAGUUCCCCGCCUGGUGAGUACGGCCGCAAGGUUGAAACUCAAAGGAAUUGACGGGGGCCCGCACAAGCGGUGGUGCAUGUGGUUUAAUUCGACGCAACGCGAGGAACCUUACCUGGGUUUGACAUGGCGCUGGUAGUGAACCGAAAGGGGAACGACCCCGCAAGGGGAGGCGUCACAGGUGCAGCAUGGCUGUCGUCAGCUCGUGCCGUGAGGUGUUGGGUUAAGUCCCGCAACGAGCGCAACCCCCGCCCUUUGUUGCUACCGGGUAAAGCCGGGCACUCGAAGGGGACUGCCAGCGAAGAGUUGGAGGAAGGUGGGGAUGACGUCAAGUCAUCAUGGCCUUUAUAUCCAGGGCGACACACGUGCAACAAUGGCCGGUACAGACGGAGGCGAGCCCGUAAGGGGGAGCAAAUCCGAGAAAGCCGGUCUCAGUUCGGAUUGAGGUCUGCAACUCGACCUCAUGAAGUCGGAAUCGCUAGUAAUCGCGUAUCAGAACGACGCGGUGAAUACGUUCCCGGGCCUUGUACACACCGCCCGUCACACCACGAAAGUCUGUUGUACCCGAAGUCGGUGUCCGAACCCCGCAAGGGGACGAAGCCGCCCAAGGUAUGGCCGAUGAUUGGGGUG